Molecule: long non-coding RNA, 2913 nt
Organism: Heterocephalus glaber (naked mole-rat)
Lineage: Eukaryota; Metazoa; Chordata; Mammalia; Rodentia; Bathyergidae
Source: Ensembl
AGAUAGGUUACCUCGUUCAUUUUCAACUCAUCUUUUCUAACAUAGGCACUAUUGUUAUAGAAUUAAAUUUAUAGUCUAGACAUAGUUCACAAGUUUUUAUAUUAAUAUUGUUAAUAUUUGUGUUAGUUUUCUAUUGCUGUAACAAUACCUGAGAAAAUCAACCUAAAGGAAGAAAGAUCUAUUUUGGCUCAGUUUCAGAGAUUUCCGUCCACAGUCAGCUGGACUGUGCUGAGGCAGAACAUCAUGGAAGGGAACACUUGAAACAAAGCUGUUUGCCUCAUGGUGCCCAGGAAGUAGACAGGGACUGGGGACAAAAUAUACCCUUCAAAGCCACACCCCUAGUGACCUGUGUCCUCCAACUAGGGCUCACUUCCUUAAGUUUGCACUGCUUUCCAGUAGCCCGUGAAGUUAUGAAUCCACAAAUGGGUUAAUCUAUUCCUGGGGUGGAACCUUCAUGAUUCUCUCACCUCGUAAAAGCCCUGCCUCUGAUAACUGAUGCUUUCAAUACAUGAGCUUUGGAAGACAUUUAUGUUCCAAACCAUACCAAUAUUUAAUUAAACUAGUUUUGAAUUUUCAUGAGCAUUUCCUCUUCUACUCUUUGGUUGGCUCUUUUAGGAGAGUAUGGAGAGUUAGCUGGGUGUGGCGGCACAUGCCUGUGAUCCCAGCACACAGGAGGAGAGUGUGGGAUGUGAUUAAAAAAUAUGGUGAAUGUGGGCUGGGGAUUUAGCUCAGUGGUUCUGCUGCCUGCCUCAAAAGCACAAGGUACCAAGUUUGAUCCCUGGUACAAAAAAAAAUAUAUAUAUAUAUGAUGAAUGUUUGAAUUUAGAAGUUUAUUAUAAUAAAAGACACUUUACUGUUACUCUCAAGAUACUCCCUUUUGCUUUAAGCACACUUUUCUGUGGUUCUUGCCACUUUCUGAAGCAGUUCUGGAAGUCUUCAGUUGUCUUUCACUGAAUGUUACGGCUGCUUCAGUGACUUGAAUUGCUUCAAAACUUCUACCUUUCAUCAUCAUUUUGACUUUGAGGAAGAGCCAGCAGUCACAGCCAGAUCCAGUGAAUAAGGUGGUUGAGGAUACACUAAUAUUUUGUGAGCCUGUGUUAUGGUUUGGGUCAAAAUGUUCCCCCAAAGCCUCAUGUGGUCAUAGGAUUGAUCUAGAGUGUGUGAAGCUGGAAUUGAUUCAUGGUGCAAUGCUAGGUUAGAGGGCACUAGGAUUAAGGGUGUGAGUGCUACCCACCCUAAGUAGUCUGAAUAACUCAGUGGUUUUGCUGCCUGCUGCGCAAGUGCAAGGACCUGAGUUCGAUCUCCGGUACCAAAAAAAAAAAGAUGGAAGAGGCAGAGAGACACUGUUAACUUCCCUCUCUCGUUACCUUUGCUGCCUUGUGCGCACCAUAUUUUUCUUCUAUGAUGCUUGUUUGCCGUUCCAGCCUUGGGGCCAGCCGAUUAUGGACUGAAACCUCUACGAACUAUAAGCCAAAUAAACCCCUUCCUCUCUAACUUUGGAUGUCAGGUAUUUUGUCUCAGCAAUGAGAGAAAAGUAUCUUAACGCAUCCUGCCUUUACAUUGAAUGGCCUUCAGGAACUGCAUUCACCAUAUUUUUGAUCACCUCAUAAAGACACAAAAGACAACUUUCAGAGCUGCUUCAGAAGAUGGCAAGAACAAUAGGAUAAGUAUGUUCAAAGUGGAGGAGUAUUUUGAGUGGGAUUAAAGGCAGUGUAAUUUAAACAUUAAUUAUAUAUUUUGAUCACCCCUCAUCAUUUCCAAACAUGCAGUUCUAAUGAUCAUUUUUAGUUUGAUUUUCAGUUUAAUUGAAUUUUGGUCACAGUUUUAAAAAUGAUCUUCCUGAUUUUGAUCCUUUGACACUAACCACUCGUAACCCAGAAUAUGGUAUUUAUUUUAUAAUAAUUUGUAUGCAUUUGACAGCAGCAUAGGGAGAAAUCAUAACUUCAGAUGAUUCCAGACCCUAGAUUUCAUGGAGCCAUUCUUACCCAUAAUGAGUUUCUGACCCACCAAAUUAAUGAACAUGAAUGAUUUAUGUAACUGAGUUUGGAGUUAUUAUACAAGACAUAACUAUAGAACAGCUAUAUCAUUCCCAACUUACAUACUAUUGUUGUGUAUUUUAUUUCUCUCAUGUAUUUUAAUUGUUACCUUGUACUUGAAUGUGUUUAAUGCUGUGAGAUUUUAUUUCUGUUAAUAUAGUCAGUAUUUGUAUUUUUACACACAUAAAACCAGUGUUUCUGCUGUUUAUUCUUAUUUAGUAUCUAAGGCUGUCAUUUGAACAUUUGUAUCUCCUAAGUUCAUGUAUUGACAGUAGAACCUCCAAGUGGUGGUAUUCGGAAUUGGGCCUUUCUUUGGGAUGUGAUCAGGCAUGAAGCCCUUGUAAAAGAGACCUGAGGGAGACCAUCACACUUCUGAGGAUAUAGAGAGAAGGUGCCAUCUUUGAGCCAGAAGGGGACUCUCCACAGACACCAAAUCUGCUGGCAUCUUGAUCUUGGAUUUCCUACCUCUGAAUUUAUCCCUGUGCCAUGUGACACUGCUUGGAGCCAGCCAACUAUGAAGUGAAAGCUCCAGCCUGAGAGCUACAAUAAACCUUUGCUCUUUUAACUUUGGGUGUCAAGUAUUUUGUUUCAGCAAUGAGAAAAGUAACUAAGAUACUCAUUUAAUUUGCUGGUGUGCUAUAUAACAAAUGGCUUUGUGACUUAAAAAAUAUUUUGUUACAGGUCUAGAGGCUAAAAGUCAGAAAUCAAGGUGUCAGUGAGGUUGAUUUGUUUUAUUUUAAUUUAUUAGUAUAUGAGUAUUGAACAUAAUGUUUACAUUCUUUGUGGAAAGUUUGUACAUGUUCAUCACAUAUCUUGAUUCCUUUUUUCAUCCCCUUUGCCUUCCUUCCCUCCCCCUCCACCCUCCAUCUGUCCUUCG